GAUGAAGAACGUAGCGAAAUGCGAUACGUAAUGUGAAUUGCAGAAUUCAGUGAAUCAUCGAAUCUUUGAACGCAUAUUGCGCUCUCUGGUAUUCCGGAGAGCAUGCUUGUUUGAGUAUCAGUAAACACCUCAACUCCCUUUUCUUUUUUGAAAUGGGAGCUGGACUUGAGUGAUCCCAACACUUUUCUCACUGGAAAGUGGCGGGUCACUUUAAAUGCAGGUGCAGCUGGACUGUUCUCUGAGCUAUAAGCAUAUCUAUUUAGUCUGCCUAAAAAACAGAUUAUUACCUUUGCUGCAGCUAACAUAAAGGAGAUGAGUUCUUGUGCUGACUGAUGCAGGAUUCACAGAGACAGCUUUGCGGCUGACUUUGUAAACUCGAUCUCAAAUCAAGUAAGACUACCCGCUGAACUUAAGCAUAUCAAUAAGCGGAGGA
This 433-nucleotide unclassified non-coding RNA is filed under the name soil metagenome. RNAcentral describes it as "partial contains 5.8S ribosomal RNA, internal transcribed spacer 2, and large subunit ribosomal RNA". The stretch from base 1 to 120 matches the Rfam family "5.8S ribosomal RNA", at positions 35 to 154 of the family's 154-position model. The record is from RNAcentral.